Molecule: long non-coding RNA, 219 nt
Organism: Sander lucioperca (pikeperch)
Lineage: Eukaryota; Metazoa; Chordata; Actinopteri; Perciformes; Percidae
Exons: 3
Source: RefSeq, a predicted model, not a curated record
CAAUGGCACUGCUGCGACGGGAACUGAAGGGUCCAGACUUUUUCCUGGUUGGGCUUUUCCCAGGAAUGAUCAAUGACUGACGUGUUGCGGUGAAGGAAUUCAUGCAUGAAGCCCUGAGAUCUGCUGCAAUGGAAUGCAUGAAACAAGAAAAUGCAAUAAUCUGAAAUGAGAUGGUCUACCUGUAAAAACAAUCUACAUUACAGGUAUGACUUAAAAACA